Molecule: non-coding RNA, 2098 nt
Organism: Callorhinus ursinus (northern fur seal)
Lineage: Eukaryota; Metazoa; Chordata; Mammalia; Carnivora; Otariidae
Source: RefSeq, a predicted model, not a curated record
CAGACGCCGGGAGGCUAUGGCCACGUUAGUUCGGCUGCAAGCUCGGUCGAAGUUCGUAGCGCAGCAGUACUACUUCAGGAACAGUGUUGUAGAUAUAUUUAGGAAAAAGGAGUAUGAUGCAGCAGUUAAAAUCCAGAGCUGGUUUCGAGGAUGUCAAGUUCGGGCAUAUAUCAGGAAUUUACAUAGAGUAGCAACUAUUAUUCAAAAAUGGUGGAGAAGUUACUCAGGGAGACAAGAGUAUCAACUAAUUGUAAAGUUCGCAUCUUGUGCUAUGAAGAUGAAUCUCUACAAUGCAAUGGCUGUCAGGAUUCAGAGGCGAUGGCGAGGCUAUAGGAUUCGGAAAUACUGCUUUAAUUAUUUUUAUUUGAAGGAGUACCUGAAAGCUGUUUCAGAGACCAAUGAUGCUAUUAGGGAGGCACUGGAGGAGUUUGCAGAGAUGAAAGAAAGAGAAGAGAAGAAGGCCGACCUCGAAAGGGAAGAGAAGAAAAGAGAUUACCAAGCCCGGAAGACGCAUUACCUCCUCAGCACAAAGCAGAUUCCAGGUAUAUACAAUUCACCAUUCAGAAAAGAUCCUGAUCCCUGGGAAUUGAGGUUACAAAAGGCAAAGCCUUUAACAUACCAAAGGUCUAAAGUUAAGCAGAAGCGCUGCAUCAGCCUUAGCAGCUGGCUAGCUUGUACGAGUGCCCGUUCCUUUCCUCGAUCUGAAAUUCUGCCACCCAUUGAUAGGAAACAAUGUCAGGGACCAUUCCGUGAUAUCACUGAAGUAUUAGAACAGCGCUACAAGCCUUUGGAGCCAACAUUGUGGGUAGCAGAACCAAUCAGUGAGUUAAAGGUGGCCAGAGAAGAAUUCAGAAGACAGGAAUGGAUGCGAGAUGUAAAUGACAAUAUGUUUUUGCCAUUUUCUUCCUACCAUAAAAAUAAAAAGUAUACCCCAUUAAUGCAUUCAUCAAGCAAGUAUGGUCCCAAUUCCUAUGGAAGUCAACACUUUAGAGAUGAAAAUCCUAAGAAGUGGAUCUGUGACAAGGAUUUCCAAACUGUAUUACCAUCAUUUGAUCUCUUCUCAAAGUACGGAAAAUUAUAUUCAAAAGCUGGACAAAUUAUCUAAAGUUACAUUCAUCUUUCCAGGCAGAAGAGUCCCUUUAAGGAUUUGAGUGAAGAAAACUUAGCAAAAUGAGGUGAAAGCAUUGGUUAAUCUGACAUCAAUAUUUUAUAGAGGAAGGAGAGAAGCAAGCGUAAAGGAAGCUGAAGAAUAGAGGAGAACAAGAAGAAAUGACAAAUGAGACUAAAUACAAUUAAAACUUUCAGAACUGUAAAAGCCACAGGUAACUAAUUCUUCCCAACCGCCUGAGUAUCAAUAUGGUUCAGAAAAAUAGAAAUAAUGAAGGUCAGCAAAACCAAGGAUGGUUCAGAAGCUGUCUGGAAACUAGCUCUGGAGCUCUAAAUUCAAUAGCCCUGCUUUAGCUGUCUUUGACCUGCCUCCCAAUUCUGUUUACACACGGAAUAAUUACUGUACUUCUCUCCUGGAGCACGAGAUACUUUAGAUCACAAUGGCUGCUUUUGUUUUGAUUUGCUACUAUUUAAUUACAAACCAUCAUGUUUAGAUCUUUUCAGGGCAGAGCAAUGCAGUGAUAACACCACUUGUAGAAACAGCAAAAAAUGUGAUGGAAAAUCUGCAUUAAAAAUGACAAAGGUAUGUCCAGGGUUCAAUUUUGGCUUCCAUACAUGUGGCAGCAGCACCAAUGACAGCAAGGCCACUUAGUCCAAUCUUCAUCCAUGCUGAGUGGCGCUAAGCCCUCUUCAAGGAAUAGCAAGACUAAAAGCCUGUUAGGAAGACUGUUUUGUGAAGUCCAAUACACAGUUCACUUGAGAGGAAAAUCAAAUUCUCUCUCAGUCCUUGAGCGGUGAAAAGGUGGCACACUAACCCCCUGCAUUCUUUCAAUAAUGAGAAAAGUAAAUCUAAGUAAUACCUUCCAAUGAAUGAGGCUAUAUCGUCAAAACUACAUAGGUCAACAUUUCUCCCUGUUGCUUUUUCACAGUCAUUUUAUCCCCUAUGCAUUUUAUUAUGAUGAUGGUUAUUAAAGAUCUCAUGCGCUCUGUG